GGGCUGAGGACUUAACUCAGUGAUAAAACGACUCUGAAUUCAAUCCCCAGUACAAAAAAAUAAAAAACAAAUAAAAAAUUUUUUAAAAUUUUCCUCUUCUAAAUUGAAUCUCUUGAAAUCAUGGUUUUGAUGUAUUUUAUACUUUUUUUCUAAUACACAUUAUAAUAAAUAUAUAACUAGUCAGUGUAUAAGCUACCAACUUUUAACAUGAAGAUUGGACUAAGGUCAAUGGACUUGAAAAAUCUGUGAGCCCUGUGAUGAUAAUAUUUAUUAUAGUUACCCAAUUCUAGCACAUUUAUCUGGUUUCAUCAGAUGAAAGCAAAUUGGAAUGGCAGAGGGGAAGAAGAACAUGUUUACUCUUGGAUGUUUUUGUGAAAUCAGCUGCCUUCUCCCCCCAAAUUAAGGCCUUUUGUUUUGUUUUUAUAUCACAUUCUAUACACCUACUUUUUGGCAAGGUCUGCAUAUGCUAAUGUUAGCAUUUAUAAUAUGUUGUUUGCAUCCAAUGGUGCUGAACUUCUUAUUCUAGUACCAUAUUUAGAGGGGCAAAUGACAGAGACAGGAUUUUGUUAUGGUGGAGGGAUGUCUGAAACUGAUAGAUCCUGUGCUUUCAACAAUUGGAGGAAGUGAAUUAUGGAGCCAGGAAACAGCAUGCACUGUGCUUUUAUUUAUUUAUUUAUUUAGCAAUGUUGGGGGUUGAACUC
Molecule: long non-coding RNA, 701 nt
Filed under: Marmota monax (woodchuck)
Lineage: Eukaryota; Metazoa; Chordata; Mammalia; Rodentia; Sciuridae
Source: RNAcentral